GCGGUAUCCUGAGACCGCUCCCUUUGCCGCCCUUCCUGAGUGUGAGACUCAGGUUCUUCAAGAGACAGACCUCGGCAAGAAGGUUCCCCUCCGCUCGCCUCGCUCCCGCGGGGCGCAUGGAAAUCUCGAGUCAGGUAGAACCUAAGCGAGCUUCACCUUAAGCCCAUACCUCAGGCUUCUCAUCUUGUGUCUUGAGGCUGCGGGGUCAUGGCACUGCUGGAACCGCUCGACACCCAGCCAGGAUCAAGCAACCCAAUGCCUUUGGAAGUGGCUGAUUUGAUAAUGUAUCCUACCAAUGGCUCUCCUUCCUGGCCUGCUUUACAACCCCUGGCUUUCACUCCUGGUCCUCGCAUUCACACUUGCCAAUAAAGUACUCAGAUGAGGAAGCCACACUAAGGCAUGUUGGUACCAAGAGUGGUCCCAGAAAGCAGCCCUCAGGUUGGAAUUUUGGAGCUGGACCGCUCACCAGUCAGAUGGCGACAACAGCCCCAUUCUGCGAUAAGUGUGUGUGUAUGAUGUGGGGGGUGGUAACACCUAGACUAUAUAUUUCUUCUCUUGGAAACAGAAGUAAACCUUAUCUUGAUAUAUUCGUUAUAAUGACAUGUAAGUUUUGGCUCAAAAUGAAACAAGAAUCAAAGAUAAUUGUACUGGUUUAAUUAAAACAGUGAUUCUGAACUGGGGACUGUUUUGCUUCCAGGGGACAUUUGGCAAUGUCUGAAGACAUUUUUGGUUGUCAUGACUUGUGGAGUGCUACUGGCCACGGUGAUUCUAGGCAUCCUACAACGCACAGAGAGCCCCUCAUAACAAAAUUAUUUAGUUCAAAAUAUCAGUGAGGUCAAGGUUGAAAAACUCUGAACUCAAGUGUUCAGAUUUCCUUAACUUGUCUGCCCAAGUAUAGGAAUAGG
This is a long non-coding RNA of Rhinolophus ferrumequinum (greater horseshoe bat), 905 nucleotides long. RefSeq lists it as uncharacterized. Lineage: Eukaryota; Metazoa; Chordata; Mammalia; Chiroptera; Rhinolophidae. The transcript has 3 exons. The record is from RefSeq and is a predicted model, not a curated record.